Molecule: long non-coding RNA, 237 nt
Filed under: Chlamydomonas reinhardtii
Lineage: Eukaryota; Viridiplantae; Chlorophyta; Chlorophyceae; Chlamydomonadales; Chlamydomonadaceae
Description: long non-coding RNA (CREI_LNC000020)
Source: RNAcentral
CACCGGCACACCGUUCAGCUUGAACGGGCCGGUAACGAGCAGCAGGCCCGAAGGCAGCUGGCCCAGGAAGAUGACACGCUUGCCCUUGAAGCGACCGGCCAGCAGAAUCAGCACGGUGCCUGGCGUGAUGCUGGCGCGCAGCUUGGUCUGCUUGUGCACAGCGUUGUGCGACAGAGGCUUGGGCACAUCAUCGGCGGGGUAAAAGCGGGGAGCCUUGCCCUCAGCCUGCUUGGCCAC